Lactuca sativa (garden lettuce) is the source of this 518-nucleotide long non-coding RNA. RefSeq lists it as uncharacterized. The record is from RefSeq and is a predicted model, not a curated record. Lineage: Eukaryota; Viridiplantae; Streptophyta; Magnoliopsida; Asterales; Asteraceae.
CUAACCCCAAAAUUGCACCUUUGUUCCCUAAAUAUCGCUGCAAGACAGUGACUCACAAGUCACAACGACGAACCUGUCAAGCUGGCCACUACUUGCCCAUCGUCUCUAUCAUCUCUCUCACUUGGAUAUAAAAGGCUUUCAAAACUUGAAAGAAGUAGGUGUAUGUGGCAUAUAAGUAUUAUACAAGUGGCAUUGCAAGUUGCUUGAAAGAUGGCGAUGCGGAUAGUCUAAGAGGCCGAGAGUCAGAGAUGGAAUGAAGAAGAUGAAGUUAGAGAGUGAAAGAGUGAGAAGGGGGAAGGUGCACAUCUAGCGCAUCCAGUGGUUAGCGAUAACUUUUUGAGUGUAUAUCGGCGGGUUUCCGACGUCGUGGUCCGACGGUCCGUCGAUUCCGGUGUUUUCCAACGGGUGUGGUCUACAGGUGUUCUCCAUUUGCUUUAGAGAAGAGAUAUGGAGAGACAAGAGAUAUUACAAUGAUUAUUUUUUUAUUGUUAAAAUAAAUAAUAAUUAACUAUUUAAUA